RNAcentral lists this ribosomal RNA (468 nucleotides) under uncultured bacterium. RNAcentral describes it as "partial 16S ribosomal RNA". It matches the Rfam family "Bacterial small subunit ribosomal RNA", at positions 28 to 507 of the family's 1533-position model. The record is from RNAcentral.
GACGAACGCUGGCGGCGAGCUUAACAAAUGCAAGACGAACGGAAAGGCCCUGAUUUUGUGGGGUGCUCGAGUGGCGAAGGGGUGAGUAACACGUGAGUAACCUGCCCUUGACUUUGGGAUAACUUCAGGAAACUGGGGCUAAUACCGGAUAGGAGCUCCUGCUGCAUGGUGGGGGUUGGAAAGUUUCGGCGGUUGGGGAUGGACUCGCGGCUUAUCAGCUUGUUGUGUGGGUAGUGGCUUACCAAGGCUUUGACGGGUAGCCGGCCUGAGAGGGUGACCGGCCACAUCGGGACGUAGAUACGGCCCAUACUCCUCCGGGAGCAAUCAGUCUGGAAGCUUGCAUAAUGGGCGAAAGCCUAAUUCAGCAACGCCGCGUGCGGGAGGACGGCCUUCGGAUUGUAAGCCGCUUUCGCCUGUGACGAAGCGUGUGUGACGGUAAUGGGUAGAUAAUCACCGGCUAACUACGUG